Molecule: long non-coding RNA, 605 nt
Organism: Pseudophryne corroboree (corroboree frog)
Lineage: Eukaryota; Metazoa; Chordata; Amphibia; Anura; Myobatrachidae
Exons: 2
Source: RefSeq, a predicted model, not a curated record
AAGCGGGACUGUGUGGCUCCGGUCGCUGAAUCCUCAGUGCGGUACAGAGAGUGAAAUUCUCCGCAUCACCCGACAAGCAGCCCAGAGGAGAGAGAAUCUGACCCCGGCAGAAGACAACUAACCGAGCGGUGAGCCAGGCAGCGGUGUAGAGCGGAAGGACUGCUGACGGCUUGCAGACACGCCGGGAGGAGGUACGGAGGCGGGCAGGAAGGCGGAGCGGCAGCUGACUGACAGCCGGGAAGAAGAGCGGAGGUGCGGUUGACGGCCUGCGGACACGCCUGGAGGAGGUGCGGGGGCGGGCUGGAAGGCGGAGCAGCUGCUGACGGCCAGAGCCGGCCAGAGGGAACAGCUGUGGGCAGCCCUGUUACCCGAACAGGCGGUGCAGGAGCAGCAGCGGGAUCCCUAUUAAGGGGACCUGAUAUAGGAGAGAGUCAUUACUACCAGCAACAAGGGUUCCAGUAUAAUAAAUAUUGUUAAAAUGGGUUACACUGUUGUUGACACUAUUGGUUGUGUUGUUAGAGUUAAAUAAUCAUAUCUUUACAAGUGUCUUAAAUUCUUCUGUUGUAAAGAACCAACCUCAUUAAAUACAUUGUUUGAAAUCAUCA